This 286-nucleotide small RNA is filed under the name Hyphomicrobiales bacterium. RNAcentral describes it as "5_ureB_sRNA". It matches the Rfam family "5' ureB small RNA". Lineage: Bacteria; Pseudomonadati; Pseudomonadota; Alphaproteobacteria; Hyphomicrobiales. The record is from RNAcentral.
CUUCCUCAGCCUGCUGCGGCGCGAUGAAGUGGAUGUGGGUGUCGAUGCCGCCCGGGGUCAGGAUCUUGCCCUCGCCAGCAAUCACAUCCGUACCGGGACCGAUGAUGAUGGUGAUGCCCGGCUGAAUGUCGGGAUUGCCAGCCUUGCCAAUGCCGCUGAUGCGGCCAUCCUUCACACCGACAUCGGCCUUCACGAUGCCCCAGUGAUCGAGGAUGAUCACAUUGGUAAUGACGAGAUCGGCGACCUCGGCCGCAUUCCGCUGGCUCUGCCCCAUGCCGUCGCGGAU